GACCUGGAUGGGCGGUCCGCCUAACGGUGUGUACUGUUCGUCUGGGCCUUACCUCUUGGUGAGCCAGCAUGUCCUUCACUGGGUGUGUUGGGGAACCAGGACUUUUACCUUGAGAAAAUUAGAGUGUUCAAAGCAGGCAAUCGAGCCUUGAAUACUUCAGCAUGGGAUAAUGGAACAGGA
Molecule: ribosomal RNA, 180 nt
Filed under: uncultured Glomeromycotina
Lineage: Eukaryota; Fungi; Glomeromycota
Description: partial small subunit ribosomal RNA
Source: RNAcentral